Aethina tumida (small hive beetle) is the source of this 84-nucleotide small nucleolar RNA. RefSeq annotates it as small nucleolar RNA snR60/Z15/Z230/Z193/J17. Lineage: Eukaryota; Metazoa; Arthropoda; Insecta; Coleoptera; Nitidulidae. The transcript has a single exon. The record is from RefSeq and is a predicted model, not a curated record.
UCUUUUGAAUGAUGAGCUUAUAGUUCAGAUGAAAGAACUUUGAUUAUACACAUUUUUGUCUUUCGCUCCUAUCUGAUUUGAUAA